GGUUAAGUUAGAAAGGGCGCACGGUGGAUGCCUUGACACUAGGAGUCGAUGAAGGACGGGACUAACGCCGAUAUGCUUCGGGGAGCUGUAAGUAAGCUUUGAUCCGAAGAUUUCCGAAUGGGGAAACCCACCAUACGUAAUGGUAUGGUAUCCUUAUCUGAAUACAUAGGGUAAGGAAGACAGACCCAGGGAACUGAAACAUCUAAGUACCUGGAGGAAGAGAAAGCAAAUGCGAUUUCCUGAGUAGCGGCGAGCGAAACGGAACAUAGCCCAAACCAAGAGGCUUGCCUCUUGGGGUUGUAGGACAUUCUAUACGGAGUUACAAAGGAACGAGGUAGACGAAGCGACCUGGAAAGGUCCGUCGUAGAGGGUAACAACCCCGUAGUCGAAACUUCGUUCUCUCUUGAAUGUAUCCUGAGUACGGCGGAACACGUGAAAUUCCGUCGGAAUCUGGGAGGACCAUCUCCCAAGGCUAAAUACUCCCUAGUGAUCGAUAGUGAACCAGUACCGUGAGGGAAAGGUGAAAAGCACCCCGGAAGGGGAGUGAAAGAGAUCCUGAAACCGUGUGCCUACAAAUAGUCAGAGCCCGUUAACGGGUGAUGGCGUGCCUUUUGUAGAAUGAACCGGCGAGUUACGAUCCCGUGCAAGGUUAAGCUGAAGAGGCGGAGCCGCAGCGAAAGCGAGUCUGAAUAGGGCGUUUAGUACGUGGUCGUAGACCCGAAACCAGGUGAUCUACCCAUGUCCAGGGUGAAGUUCAGGUAACACUGAAUGGAGGCCCGAACCCACGCACGUUGAAAAGUGCGGGGAUGAGGUGUGGGUAGCGGAGAAAUUCCAAUCGAACCUGGAGAUAGCUGGUUCUCCCCGAAAUAGCUUUAGGGCUAGCCUUAAGUGUAAGAGUCUUGGAGGUAGAGCACUGAUUGGACUAGGGGUCCUCAUCGGAUUACCGAAUUCAGUCAAACUCCGAAUGCCAAUGACUUAUCCUUAGGAGUCAGACUGCGAGUGAUAAGAUCCGUAGUCAAAAGGGAAACAGCCCAGACCGCCAGCUAAGGUCCCAAAGUGUGUAUUAAGUGGAAAAGGAUGUGGAGUUGCUUAGACAACUAGGAUGUUGGCUUAGAAGCAGCCACCAUUUAAAGAGUGCGUAAUAGCUCACUAGUCGAGUGACUCUGCGCCGAAAAUGUACCGGGGCUAAAUACACCACCGAAGCUGCGGAUUGAUACCAAUGGUAUCAGUGGUAGGGGAGCGUUCUAAGGACAGUGAAGUCAGACCGGAAGGACUGGUGGAGUGCUUAGAAGUGAGAAUGCCGGUAUGAGUAGCGAAAGACGGGUGAGAAUCCCGUCCACCGAAUGCCUAAGGUUUCCUGAGGAAGGCUCGUCCGCUCAGGGUUAGUCAGGACCUAAGCCGAGGCCGACAGGCGUAGGCGAUGGACAACAGGUUGAUAUUCCUGUACCACCUCUUUAUCGUUUGAGCAAUGGAGGGACGCAGAAGGAUAGAAGAAGCGUGCGAUUGGUUGUGCACGUCCAAGCAGUUAGGCUGAUAAGUAGGCAAAUCCGCUUAUCGUGAAGGCUGAGCUGUGAUGGGGAAGCUCCUUAUGGAGCGAAGUCUUUGAUUCCCCGCUGCCAAGAAAAGCUUCUAGCGAGAUAAAAGGUGCCUGUACCGCAAACCGACACAGGUAGGCGAGGAGAGAAUCCUAAGGUGUGCGAGAGAACUCUGGUUAAGGAACUCGGCAAAAUGACCCCGUAACUUCGGGAGAAGGGGUGCUUUCUUAACGGAAAGCCGCAGUGAAUAGGCCCAAGCGACUGUUUAGCAAAAACACAGCUCUCUGCGAAGCCGUAAGGCGAAGUAUAGGGGGUGACACCUGCCCGGUGCUGGAAGGUUAAGGAGAGGGGUUAGCGUAAGCGAAGCUCUGAACUGAAGCCCCAGUAAACGGCGGCCGUAACUAUAACGGUCCUAAGGUAGCGAAAUUCCUUGUCGGGUAAGUUCCGACCCGCACGAAAGGUGUAACGAUUUGGGCACUGUCUCAACCAGAGACUCGGUGAAAUUAUAGUACCUGUGAAGAUGCAGGUUACCCGCGACAGGACGGAAAGACCCCGUGGAGCUUUACUGUAGCCUGAUAUUGAAUUUUGGUACAGUUUGUACAGGAUAGGCGGGAGCCUUUGAAACCGGAGCGCUAGCUUCGGUGGAGGCGCUGGUGGGAUACCGCCCUGACUGUAUUGAAAUUCUAACCUACGGGUCUUAUCGACCCGGGAGACAGUGUCAGGUGGGCAGUUUGACUGGGGCGGUCGCCUCCUAAAGUGUAACGGAGGCGCCCAAAGGUUCCCUCAGAAUGGUUGGAAAUCAUUCGUAGAGUGCAAAGGCAUAAGGGAGCUUGACUGCGAGACCUACAAGUCGAGCAGGGACGAAAGUCGGGCUUAGUGAUCCGGUGGUUCCGCAUGGAAGGGCCAUCGCUCAACGGAUAAAAGCUACCCCGGGGAUAACAGGCUUAUCUCCCCCAAGAGUCCACAUCGACGGGGAGGUUUGGCACCUCGAUGUCGGCUCAUCGCAUCCUGGGGCUGUAGUCGGUCCCAAGGGUUGGGCUGUUCGCCCAUUAAAGCGGUACGCGAGCUGGGUUCAGAACGUCGUGAGACAGUUCGGUCCCUAUCCGUCGUGGGCGUAGGAAAUUUGAGAGGAGCUGUCCUUAGUACGAGAGGACCGGGAUGGACGCACCGCUGGUGUACCAGUUGUUCUGCCAAGGGCAUAGCUGGGUAGCUAUGUGCGGAAGGGAUAAGUGCUGAAAGCAUCUAAGCAUGAAGCCCCCCUCAAGAUGAGAUUUCCCAUAGCGUAAGCUAGUAAGAUCCCUGAAAGAUGAUCAGGUUGAUAGGUUCGAGGUGGAAGCAUGGUGACAUGUGGAGCUGACGAAUACUAAUAGAUCGAGGACUUAACCAU
RNAcentral lists this ribosomal RNA (2922 nucleotides) under Bacillus cereus. Its description in RNAcentral is "23S ribosomal RNA". It matches the Rfam family "Bacterial large subunit ribosomal RNA". The record is from RNAcentral. Lineage: Bacteria; Bacillati; Bacillota; Bacilli; Caryophanales; Bacillaceae.